This 72-nucleotide transfer RNA is filed under the name Ovis aries (sheep). It matches the Rfam family "tRNA". Rfam says of the family: Transfer RNA (tRNA) molecules are approximately 80 nucleotides in length. Their secondary structure includes four short double-helical elements and three loops (D, anti-codon, and T loops). Lineage: Eukaryota; Metazoa; Chordata; Mammalia; Artiodactyla; Bovidae. The record is from Rfam by way of RNAcentral.
UUCCUAGUGGCUCAGGUGGUAAAGAAUCUGUCUGCAAUGCAGGAGACCCAGGUUCAAUCCCUGGAUAGGGAA